Molecule: ribosomal RNA, 1137 nt
Filed under: uncultured bacterium
Lineage: Bacteria
Description: bacterial SSU rRNA
Rfam family: Bacterial small subunit ribosomal RNA
Source: RNAcentral
AGAGUUUGAUCAUGGCUCAGAACGUACGCUGGCGGCACGCCUUAUACAUGCAAGUCGAACGAAGUAGCAAUACUUAGUGGCAGACGGGUGAGUAACAUGUAGGUAUCUUCCCUUUGGUGAGGAAUAACACGAGGAAACUUGUGCUAAUACCUCAUAAGUCUUUACGGAGAAAGCUUUAUGCGCCGAAGGAUGAGCCUGCACUUGAUUAGUUUGUUGGUGGGGUAAUGGCCCACCAAGACUUUGAUCAAUAGCUGAUCUGAGAGGAUGAUCAGCCACAUUGGGACUGAGACACGGCCCAAACUCCUACGGGAGGCAGCAGUAGGGAAUAUUGCACAAUGGAGGAAACUCUGAUGCAGCGAUGCCGCGUGAGUGAAGAAGGCCUUUGGGUUGUAAAGCUCUUUCGUCGGGGAAGAAAAUGACUGUACCCGAAUAAGAAGGUCCGGCUAACUUCGUGCCAGCAGCCGCGGUAAUACGAAGGGACCUAGCGUAGUUCGGAAUUACUGGGCUUAAAGAGUUCGUAGGUGGUUAAAAAAGUUGGUGGUGAAAUCCCAGAGCUUAACUCUGGAACUGCCAUCAAAACUUUUUAGCUAGAGUAUGAUAGAGGAAAGCAGAAUUUCUAGUGUAGAGGUGAAAUUCGUAGAUAUUAGAAAGAAUACCAAUUGCGAAGGCAGCUUUCUGGAUCAUUACUGACGCUGAGGAACGAAAGCAUGGGUAGCGAAGAGGAUUAGAUACCCUCGUAGUCCAUGCCGUAAACGAUGUGUGUUAGACGUUGGAAAUUUAUUUUCAGUGUCGCAGCGAAAGCAUUAAACACACCGCCUGGGGAGUACGACCGCAAGGUUAAAACUCAAAUGAAUUGACGGGGACCCGCACAAGUAGUGGAGCAUGUGGUUUAAUUCGAAGAUACGCGCAGAACCUUACCAACACUUGACAUGUUCGUCGCGACUUUAAGAGAUUAAAGUUUUCGGUUCGGCCGGACGAAACACAGGUGCUGCAUGGCUGUCGUCAGCUCGUGUCGUGAGAUGUUGGGUUAAGUCCCGCAACGAGCGCAACCCUCACUUUUAGUUGCCAUCAUUUAGUUGGGCACUCUGAAAGAACUGCCAGUGAUAAGCUGGAGGAAGGUGGGGAUGACGUCAAGUC